RNAcentral lists this ribosomal RNA (253 nucleotides) under uncultured bacterium. RNAcentral's name for it is "partial 16S ribosomal RNA". The stretch from base 27 to 253 matches the Rfam family "Bacterial small subunit ribosomal RNA", at positions 550 to 776 of the family's 1533-position model. The record is from RNAcentral.
UACCAGCACCCCGAGUGGUCGGGACGAUUAUUGGGCCUAAAGCAUCCGUAGCCGGUUUUACAAGUCCUCCGUUAAAUCCAGCUGCUUAACAGAUGGGCUGCGGAGGAUACUAUAAGACUAGGAGGCAGGAGAGGCAAGCGGUACUCAGUGGGUAGGGGUAAAAUCCGUAGAUCUACGAAGGAAGGCCAAAAGCGAAGGCAGCUCUCUGGGUCCCUACCGACGCUGGGGUGCGAAAGCAUGGGGAGCGAACAGG